Small nuclear RNA from Mus pahari (shrew mouse), 108 nucleotides. Lineage: Eukaryota; Metazoa; Chordata; Mammalia; Rodentia; Muridae. The record is from RefSeq and is a predicted model, not a curated record.
GUGCUUGCUUCGGUAGCACAUAUACUAAAAUUGGAAUGAUACAGUGAAGAUUAGCAUGGCCCCUGCACAAGGAUGACACGCAAAUUAGCAGAUUCGAGAAUGUGCUCU